This 497-nucleotide ribosomal RNA is filed under the name uncultured bacterium. RNAcentral's name for it is "partial 16S ribosomal RNA". It matches the Rfam family "Bacterial small subunit ribosomal RNA", at positions 28 to 507 of the family's 1533-position model. The record is from RNAcentral.
GAUGAACGCUGGCGGCGUGCCUAAUACAUGCCAGUCGAGCGAACGGACGAGAAGCUUGCUUCUCUGAUGUUAGCGGCGGACGGGUGAGUAACACGUGGAUAACCUACCUAUAAGACUGGGAUAACUUCGGGAAACCGUAGCUAAUACCGGAUAAUAUUUUGAACCGCAUGGUUCAAAAGUGAAAGACGGUCUUGCUGUCACUUAUAGAUGGAUCCGCGCUGCAUUAGCUAGUUGGUAAGGUAACGGCUUACCAAGGCAACGAUGCAUAGCCGACCUGAGAGGGUGAGCGGCCACACUGGAACGGAGACACGGUCCAGACUACGACGGGAGGCAGCAGUAGGGAAUAUUCCGAAAUGGGCGAAAGCAUGACGGAGCAACGCCGCGUGAGUGAUGAAGGUCUUCGGAUCGUAAAACUCUGUUAUUAGGGAAGAACAUAUGUGUAAGUAACUGUGCACAUCUUGACGGUACCUAAUCAGAAAGCCACGGCUAACUACGUG